RNAcentral lists this ribosomal RNA (405 nucleotides) under uncultured prokaryote. Its description in RNAcentral is "bacterial SSU rRNA". It matches the Rfam family "Bacterial small subunit ribosomal RNA", at positions 355 to 774 of the family's 1533-position model. The record is from RNAcentral.
UGGGGGAUAUUGCACAAUGGGCGAAAGCCUGAUGCAGCAACGCCGCGUGAGGGAAGACGGUUUUCGGAUUGUAAACCUCUGUCUUUGGGGAAGAAAGAAAUGACGGUAGCCGAGGAGGAAGCCACGGCUAACUACGUGCCAGCAGCCGCGGUAAUACGUAGGUGGCAAGCGUUGUCCGGAAUUACUGGGUGUAAAGGGAGCGCAGGCGGGAGAGCAAGUCAGCUGUGAAACCUAUGGGCUUAACCCAUAAACUGCAGUUGAAACUGUUUUGCUUGAGUGGAGUAGAGGUAGGCGGAAUUCCGAGUGUAGCGGUGAAAUGCGUAGAUAUUCGGAGGAACACCAGUGGCGAAGGCGGCCUACUGGGCUAUAACUGACGCUGAGGCACGAAAGCGUGGGGAGCAAACA